Chinchilla lanigera (long-tailed chinchilla) is the source of this 1328-nucleotide long non-coding RNA. RefSeq lists it as uncharacterized. The record is from RefSeq and is a predicted model, not a curated record. Lineage: Eukaryota; Metazoa; Chordata; Mammalia; Rodentia; Chinchillidae. The transcript has 2 exons.
AGGGGAUUUUGUCAACUGCGUUUCUCAUGUCUGCUGCCUGGCUCCUUUGAUUAGAUUGAUAAGUCCUCACCUGACUCGUGGACUGCAGACCGAAAACAGCCUCUGCCUGGGGUUGAACUUAGUUCUGAUUCAGAGAUUUCCAAAUUCCAACCCUGGCUGCAGGGCACUGAUGUGUGAAGCUGGAAGCACUCAGAGGCCUCCGCACCACCGAUACCGGGUACCCUACCUCAUCUGUCUUCUCUUGCUAGUAAAACCUUAUGAGGCCCAGACAAAGCACAAAGUGGGGUAAAGCAGCACAUGGGAAGAAACAGAGACCUCCAGAGACCUAGCAAAACCGGCUGUGAUGCCAGAUCCAUGCUCAAAAUUCAGUAAUCCAUGGGUUACAUGGGGCUUAGUGGGUCCCUUCCUGAAAAGAGAACACAAGAAUCUCUGAAAGGCCCCAACCAGCUUCUUUCCUUAAUAUCUUGCCAUGGGAAUUACAAUUCAACAUGAGUCUCAGAAGGUCAAAGUGUAGCGUACACUCGGAAAAUUCUAAGUUCAGCUAACAAAAUGAGACAGUAGAGACUGAUAGGUCUUCUUUCCUUAAAUGAUUCAGCAAUUGUUUCCCCACCUCUGCUUGGAGACUCUGACACUGAAAGCCUCUUGAGAUAGUACAUAGGCAAGGAGCCCUUCCUUCACUGAAAUGAUACUGUUUGAUACCCAGGAUUGGAAAUGUUAUAACCAAAACAAGCAGGGGAAAAUGAGUAAUAAUGAUCAGAGCAGAAAUCAAUGAUUUGAAAACAAUAAAGGGAUUCAACUGAAAACUUGAAAGUGCUUCCUUGAGAAAAAUUAAAUUGAUAAUGCUCUAGUGAGUUGACACAGGGGAGGAAUUACCUGUAUUAGGAAUAAAAGUGAUGGUGUCAUAACAGAAUUUAUAGAUAGUAAAACAAAGACAAAGGAAAAGUAUGUAUAACUUUAUGCCAAUAUGUUUAACAAAUUUGAUAAAAUGAUCAAGUAUUUAAAAACCAGACUACCAAAGCUCACACAAGAACAGAUGUAUUAAGGAGUCCUGACUCUAUUAAAACACUAGACUUGAACUUAAAAUCCUCACAAGGUCACUGUAAUUUCAAAUGACUUCCCUGGUGAAUCCUAGAAAAGAUUAGGGAAUGAAAUAAUGAAAAUUCUAUGAAAUCUCUUCUCAGCUCAUUCUAUGAGACCAGCUAUACCAUGAUAUCCAAACAAGACAAAAGAGAUGACAAGCAAAGAAAACUAAAAUGAACAUAGAUGAAAAAUUCUGCAAGAAUUGUACUACCCUCAAUCCAAUAAUAUAUAAAAUGGAAAGCACUUCA